CCGCCGGAGGUGGCAGGGACUUCUCCCCAGCCGGGAGACUGCCUCCUCCUGACAAGGGGCCCAACAGUCGGGGCCCUAAACCAGCUGUGGCAACCGCCCACCGCUGGCCAAAUGGAACGCUCCUCACGUCACCAGGUCGCUCCAGUAGUGGCUCGCGCCCCAUUGGCUGCUCGGCCUCGGCGCCUCCGCCCCUACCGCCCCUGCCCCGAACUACCAUUGGCAACUCUGAACGCCACUCGACGAUGCCUCCGCCCACUCCCCCACCCAUCUCUCUGCUACUUGCCCACCUGCCAAGCCACUGCCAGCCUCUCUUUGGGGUCGGAGUACCAGUAUGUGAAGUGUUGUCUUGUAGUGAUAUAGUUAGGCAGAGACAGAGGGGAAAGCUAGUGCCGGCGGGACAAGGAGGAGCCGGGGGCCAGCCUCCCCCCUCACACGCGGUGAGAUGCUGAAGCGAGGCUAGCUCAAGAUCCGGGUGCUCCCCCCAAACCGGGUCCGCCCUGGGCCUCUCCAGCCCUCUUGCAUUAAAAUCAACCGUUAACUCCGGAUUUUACCCUUCAGCGGCGUGAAGACAGUUUCUCUGCCUCCCAAGUCCCAUUCAGUAGCCAAGGACCCCACCUCGCUCCCCGACACCCUGGCCUCCAUCUGUAAGGCUUUCAGAACAAAACAAACAGAAAAGGGAAGUUGAAAGGGUAACUGUCCCCAAGAACACAGAAGAGUUUCUCAGUGCCAAAAACAAAUAAUUGGUAUUAAGAGAGAAACGUCAAUUCUCUCAGUCACUGCUGGCACGAGCCAUUGCUACUGAUCCAAGAAGAGUCUCAACCUUGGGAAGCCUUGAGAUUGGAAGGAGGAAAAUGGUGGAGGACAACAGCACUCUCCUAUAAGUGGACUUUCCGAGCUCCCUGCUAGUGUGGAGAGGAAGGCAGCUCCCUCGGAAAGCAGAGGAAGAUGGCCCAAGUACUUGGACCCCUGCACCCACGUUGAAGAUGUGGAUGAAGUUCCCAGCUCCUGGCUUCAGCCCGGCCCAGCCCCAGCCAUUGCAGCCAUUUCAGGAGUGAACCAUAUGCAAACUCUACCAGAGCAGAGAUUAUCUACCUGUGCUUAUCUCCGUGCUCAAAACAGUGACUGGCCCACAGCAGUAGGUACUUUUCAAGCAUCCUCCAAAACUCAUGCUGAAGCCCCAACCCUCAGUAGAAUGUAACUAUAUUUGAAGACAAGGUCUUUACUCAAGUGGUUAAAUUAAAAUGAUGCCACAGUGGGGCCCUACUCCAAUAUGACUGACAUCCUAAGAAGAAGAGGAAGAGACACUAGGAAUGCAUGUGCACAGAGGGACAAUCAUGGGAAGAGGCAAUAAGAGAGUGUCCAUUUGCAAGGGGACAUUUUUGGUCGUCACAACUCAGAGGGAAUGAUACUGGCAUCAAGGAUGCUGCUGGGGUCAAUGCUGUGCUGUGGUGAGUGAAGCUGCUGCCUGCAGUGCCAGAAUUCCAUAUGGGCGCUGGUUCGAGUCCCAGCUGCUCCACUUCCAAUCCAGCUCUCUGCUAGGGCCUGGGAAAACAGCAGAAAAUGGCCCAAGUCCUUGGGUCCCUGCACCCACGUGGGAGACCCAAAUGAAGCUCUUGGCUCCUGGCUUUGGCCUGACUCAGCUCUGGCCUUUGCAGCCAUUUAGGGAAUGAACCAGCACACAGAAGCUCUCUCUCUCUCUCCCUCACUCUCUGUAAC
Oryctolagus cuniculus (rabbit) is the source of this 1716-nucleotide long non-coding RNA. RefSeq lists it as uncharacterized. NCBI's taxonomy places the organism in Eukaryota, Metazoa, Chordata, Mammalia, Lagomorpha, Leporidae. The record is from RefSeq and is a predicted model, not a curated record.